CACAGUGAUUCAGUUAUAUAUAUAUCUUAUAACUAUAACUUCCAUUAUAGUUUAUUACAAGAUAUUGAAUAUAGUUCCCUGUGCUAUACAGCAGGACCUUGUUGUUUAUCUGUUUUAUAUUUAGUAGUGUGUAUCUGCUAAUCCCACUCUCCUAAUUUAUCCCUCCCCCGUCUACCCCUUUGGUAGCCAUAAGUUUGUUCUCUAUGUCUCACACUUUCUUUUUGAAAAGUUUGCUGCAGGCAAAGCCUUCUACUCAGAUGCCCUUCUUCUAAAUCACACACACGGUACAUGACACGGGGUGUUGGAGUGGGGGCACUGGACAGUAGACACAAAACAGUCCUGGUAUCUCUGCAAGUGACGUGAUAGACACACUGCCUGAUCCCCGCAGCUAAAAUGGGACUCCAGGCGCCGGAAGGAAUGGAAAGUGAUGACGCAGGACGCCUGAACGGUAUCUUAACCUCAGAGGAUGUUCACAGCCAGUGCUAUCCAAGCUGAAUGGACUGGAGCCCAGUGCGUAUGACGCCAUCGUGGACAGAGAAUGUAAUGACGUCGCCUGUUAUUCCCUGCUUCAAGUGUCCUGUCUAACGGACCUACCCGUUAAGGAGAAAAUAAAAUAAAGCUUUAGUUCAUCACCAUUUGAUGUUGGAAAUGCACCCUGGAAGAGGAUAGAGUUUACUCACUUAAAGCGGGAGCAAUUCUUUCCACUGAAGGCCAAUACCAGUCCUGUGGGAGUCCAUCAAGAAGUUCUUGGCAAGAACCUCCGAAGCCACCGCAGUAGAACCACGGAGCCAGGUCAUGUGCCUUCCCAUCUGCUAGGUGGCUCCGGCCCUGGGCUGCCGGUCCCUGACGGCUUGACAUUAAUCUCUGCUGCCCCUUGUACCUGCCCCUUUCCCUCCCACCCACCUUCCCAACUGGGUGAUUCCAGAGAUUCCCUCUCCCUCACUUCAUAACCCUGGAGGUGCGCGUGCAUGCGCACACACACACACACACACACACACACACACGCUUUGCCUCUCUUUGCCCAGUUCCUUUGCCAUUGCAGAAUCAUCACUGCAUCACACCAUGUCUGAGGUUAGCCAUGUCUCCCACAUGACAACCCCGCCCCCAACUCCUCUCCUGGUUCUACUGUAUCUGUUGAAAAUAGGACCGGACAUCCCUGGUGAUACAGUGGUUAAGAAUCCGCCUGCCACUGCAGGGGACACGGGUUCGAGCCCUGGUUCAGGAAGAUCCUACAUGCCGCGGAGCAACUAAGCCCGUGCACCACAAGUACUGAGCCUGCGCUCUAGAGCCUGCGAGCCACAACUACUGAGCCCACGUGCCGCAACUACUGAAGCCCGCGUGCCUAGAGCCCGUGCUCCGCAACAAGAGAAGCCACCGCAAUGAGAAGCCCGCGCACCGCAAUGAAGAGUAGCCCCCGCUCGCCGCAACUAGAGAAAGCCCGCGCGCAGCAACGAAGACCCAACGCAGCCAAAAAUAUAUAUAUAGAUAGAUAGAUAGAUAGAUAGAUAGAUUAAGAAUAGAAAAUAAGACCUUUGGUGGAGGAAAGGGGGGGAGAGAUUCCCUCUCCACCUCCUCCUCCUCACCCCACUCCCUCUGUUCCUCUCUUCUCAACACUAGUCCCUGCUAUUGAAUGUGGAAAGGAAAGGCUCUCACCCACGUCCUGCCACUGCACCUCCCUCUCCUGCCCACCACCUCGUGCCUGCCACGUGUCCAUGGUGAGAAGAAUGAGAGGAGGAUGGGAAAAGAUUGACCCCAGGAGGCUGGGGCGCAGUGCUGUCCCUCACGGCCCCUGACCCCCUGGACCACACCAUUACUCAGCACCCAGAGGGAACUCUACCCACCACCCUUGUCCUGUCUGCCCCCAGCCCUUCUCUGCUCCCACACCUCCUGCCAUAGUCCCUUCCUCCUUAGGGUGCCCAAUCCUUGUUCCCCACUUCUUCCCAGCCUCCGAGGCUCAGUAACUUCUGCCCUGGGCCAUGAGAUCCUUGCUAGUGGUGUACACCUGGGAGGUUCUUAAUCCAUUUCUAGGACUGCAGCGGAGGAGACGUAAGUUCCUGACAUUCAGAAUUAGGUCUCUGUCAAAGUGGGGUUUGCUCGCAUUUCCCCAGUGCCUGCAGGACAAAGUACAGAUUUCAUUAUGAUCCACGGGCUUUUUAUAACCUAGUUCUGCUCCUUGCUCCAGCCAUAACUGAUGCCCUCCCUCCUUCCUGCACCCUCCCCGCAUCAAGCCAAGUGGUAUCACUUGUAAUUUCGUUCACACUCUUUCUUUUGCAUGGAAUGUUGCCCUUCACCUCCUUACCGUUUGCUACUUGUUCUUCAAGGAGCAACUAAAAUGUCCUGUCUGUUGUUCUCCAUGACCUGCUUCUCCAGGCAGAAUUAAUUGCUCCCUAACCUGGAUUUCCACCCUUCUCGUGUACACUUCUAUUAGAGUGUUUAUCACAUUGCGUUAAAAUUUUUGUUUAUGUUCUGCCCUUCUCCAGACACCCUAUGCAACCAGGGGGAGUGUUUGGAAGGUCAAGGAACAUAUCUGAUCCAUCUUCAACUCCUAAUGAACUAGUGUGUGAUAAACUAAUGUGUGUUUGAUGAACAGAGUCAAAUAUAUGAUACACUUAUUAAUAGUUCGACAGGGACUUCCCUAGUGGUCCAGUGGUAAAGAAUGUGCCUUACAAUGCAGGGGAUGUGGGUUCGAUCCCUGGUCAGGGAACUAAGAUCCCACCUGCCGUGGGGCAACUAAGCCCAUGUGCCACACCUACUGAGCUUGUGCACCACAACUACUGAGCUCGUGUGCCUCUACUAGAGAGCCUGCAUGCUGCAGACUACAGAGCCCACGCACCCUGGAGCCUGCGUGCCACAACUAGAGAGGGAAAACCUGCACGCCACAACUAGAGAGAAGCCCACACGCCUCAACGAAAGAUCCUGCAUACCUCAACAAAGAUCCCGUGUGCCACAACUAAGACCCGAUGCAGCCAAAAAGAAAUUAAUUAAAUAAAUAAAUAAUAAAUCUUAAAAAAAAAAAAGUUCGACAAUGUAGGUGUAUUGUAGAUUAUUCAUUAGAUUAAAAUUGACACCUACCACAUGCUGGGAGCUAUUCCAGACAUCAGAGGAACAGCCAUAAAAGUGACAGGUAAGCUGCCCAUCGUCGUGGUCAUCACAUGGAGGGAGAUGGGCAAAGAAACAAGUAAACAAACAAAUAGAAUCAUUUCAGAGAGACUUCAGUUCUGUGAAUGAAACACCACAGGGUGAUGUGGUGGAGUGGCCAGGAGGCAUACUUUACAACUGGGUGAUCAGGGAAGGACAUGCUGAGGAGAUAUUGGUGACAUUUUCUCUGAGAUGAAUGAUAAGAAGGAAACGGUGAAGGUCUGGGUGGCACAACAUUUCAGACAGGGAACAGCAGUUACACAGUCCAAGGUAGGAAUGAGUGUGUCAUGUUUGAGAAACUGAAAACUAAGUGCUGAUGGAGAAAAAUGAGAGAGGGAGUGCCGUGGACUGAGUUACAUCCUCCCAAGGUUCCUAUGUUGAGGCCCUAACUCUCUUUAUGAUGGUAUUUGGAGGUGGGGUCUUUGGGAGGUAAUUAGGGUUAGAUGAGGUCAUGGGGGUGGGGCUCUCGUGAUGGCAUCAGUGCCCUCAUAAGAAGAGACAGCAGAGAGCUCAUGUGUUUUAUCUCUCUGUCGUUUGAGGACACAGCGAGAAGGUGGCCGUCUGCAAGCCAGGAAGCAUCCUCACUGGAAAAUGAACCUUGACCUUGAACUUCCAGCCUCCGCAACUGUGAGAAAAUUAAUUUCUGUUGUUUAAGCCUCCCAGUCUGUGGUAUUUUGUUAUAGCAGCCCCAGCUAACUAGCACAGCGAGUAAUACCAGAGGAAGUAAGAACAGCAGGCGGAGGAACAGAUCUUUUAGGACCUUGCACACUGGGCCAUGUUGUGAGGAAGCCCAGACCAGCCCUGGCAGAGGGACCACGUGGAGAGAUCUCCCCAGGUAUGGGGUCCAGCCCCACUGAGGUCCCAGUCACCAACCAGCAUCAACCACCAGGGUGUGAGUUAAGGCAACAGCAAGUCCCCCCUGCCUUCCAGGCUUCCCAGCCCUAACGUGCUGGAGCAGAGACUAGCCAAUUCCCUUAUUAACUAUAGACACCAUGCUGUACAUUGCAUCCCCAGGGCUUACUUAUUUUAUAGCUGGCAGUUUGUACCUCUUGACUCCCUUCACCCAUUUCUCCCAUCCUCCCACCCUCCUACCCCCAUCUCUGGCAACCACCAAUCUAUCUAUGAGUUCAGUUGUUUGUUUGUUUUCAGAUUCCACAUAUAAGCAAGAACAUAUAGUAUUUGUCUUCUCUGUCUGACUUACUUCACUUAGCAUAAUGCCCUCAGAAUCCAUCCAUGCUGUUGCAAAUGGCAAGAUUUCCUUCUCUUUUUAUGGCUGAGUAAUAUUGCAUAAUAUUUUUAUGAGUAAUAAAAUAUAAAUAUAUAAAAUAUACUUUACACCAUAAUAUAUAUAGCACAUUUUUCUUUAUCCACUUAUCCAUUAAUGGACUUUUAGGUUGUUUCCUUAUUUUGCCUGGUGUAAAUCAUGCUGCAAUGAACAUUGGGGUGCAUGUAUCUUUUCAAGUUAAGGUUUUUGUUUUCUUUGGAUAAAUACCAAGAAGCAGAUUUGCUGGAUCAUUUGGUAGUUCUAUUUUUAAUUUUUUGAGGAAUGUCUAUACUGUUUUCCAUAGUGGCUGCACCAAUAUACAUUCCCAUAUACAUUCCCAUUCACAGCACACAAGGGUUCCAUUUUCUCCACGUCCUUGCCAACACUUGUUAUUUCUUGUCUUUUUUUUAAUAGCCAUUCUAACAGGUGUGACGUGAUAGAUCAUUGUGGAGUUUUGUGGGGGGGGGGGCGUUUAAAUUAUUAUUUAUUUAUUUUUGGCUGUGUUGGGUCUUCGUUUCUGUGCGAGGGCUUUCUCCAGUUGCGGCAAGUGGGGCCACUCUUCAUCACGAUGCGCGGGCCUCUCACUAUUGUGGCCUCUCUUGUUGCGGAGCACAGGCUCCAGAUGCGCAGGCUCAGCAGUUGUGGCUCACGGGCCCAGUUGCUCCGCGGCAUGUGGGAUCUUCCCAGACCAGGGCUCG
This is a long non-coding RNA of Physeter macrocephalus (sperm whale), 5100 nucleotides long. RefSeq lists it as uncharacterized. The record is from RefSeq and is a predicted model, not a curated record. NCBI's taxonomy places the organism in Eukaryota, Metazoa, Chordata, Mammalia, Artiodactyla, Physeteridae. The transcript has 3 exons.